GAGUUUGAUCCUGGCUCAGGAUGAACGCCGGCGGUGUGCCUAAUACAUGCAAGUCGUACGCACUGGCCCAACUGAUUGAUGGUGCUUGCACCUGAUUGACGAUGGAUCACCAGUGAGUGGCGGACGGGUGAGUAACACGUAGGUAACCUGCCCCGGAGCGGGGGAUAACAUUUGGAAACAGAUGCUGAUACCGCAUAACAACGAAAGCCACAUGGCUUUUGUUUGAAAGAUGGCUUUGGCUAUCACUCUGGGAUGGACCUGCGGUGCAUUAGCUAGUUGGUAAGGUAACGGCUUACCAAGGCGAUGAUGCAUAGCCGAGUUGAGAGACUGAUCGGCCACAAUGGAACUGAGACACGGUACAUACUCCUACGGGAGGCAGCAGUAGGGAAUCUUCCACAAUGGGCGCAAGCCUGAUGGAGCAACACCGCGUGAGUGAAGAAGGGUUUCGGCUCGUAAAGCUCUGUUGUUGGAGAAGAACGUGCGUGAGAGUAACUGUUCACGCAGUGACGGUAUCCAACCAGAAAGUCACGGCUAACUACGUGCCAGCAGCCGCGGUAAUACGUAGGUGGCAAGCGUUAUCCGGAUUUAUUGGGCGUAAAGCGAGCGCAGGCGGUUGCUUAGGUCUGAUGUGAAAGCCUUC
RNAcentral lists this ribosomal RNA (640 nucleotides) under uncultured bacterium. Its description in RNAcentral is "bacterial SSU rRNA". It matches the Rfam family "Bacterial small subunit ribosomal RNA", at positions 9 to 605 of the family's 1533-position model. The record is from RNAcentral.